This 203-nucleotide unclassified non-coding RNA is filed under the name soil metagenome. RNAcentral's name for it is "partial internal transcribed spacer 1". The record is from RNAcentral.
CCGAGUUUACAACUCCCAAACCCAAUGUGAACGUUACCAAACUGUUGCCAUCGGCGGGAUCUCUGCCCCGGGUGCGUCGCAGCCCCGGACCAAGGCGCCCGCCGGAGGACCAACCAAAACUCUUAUUGUAUACCCCCCUCGCGGGUUUUUUUUAUAAUCUGAGCCUUCUCGGCGCCUCUCGUAGGCGUUUCGAAAAUGAAUCA